This 253-nucleotide ribosomal RNA is filed under the name uncultured bacterium. Its description in RNAcentral is "partial 16S ribosomal RNA". It matches the Rfam family "Bacterial small subunit ribosomal RNA", at positions 524 to 776 of the family's 1533-position model. The record is from RNAcentral.
GACAGAGGGUGCUAGCGUUGUUCGGAAUUACUGGGCGUAAAGCGCGCGUAGGUGGCAUUGUGUGUCGGGUGUGAAAGCCCUUGGCUCAACCAAGGAAGUGCGCCCGAAACUGCAUUGCUCGAGUUUGGGAGAGGAUAGUAGAAUUCUCAGUGUAGAGGUGAAAUUCGUAGAUACUGGGAGGAACACCGGUGGCGAAGGCGACUAUCUGGACCAAUACUGACACUGAUGUGCGAAAGCGUGGGUAGCAAACAGG